GGGGAAGCACUGUCAAGUCCACCUCUUUGCUCAAGGUCUGAAUGGGACUUGCGGGGGCUGACGGCUGAGUCCUCCCUUUCGUCCUUCCCACAGGGAGGGGGAAGCUUGGCCCAGCUCCCCCAGCCCGGUGUUACCGACUUUUCCCCCAUCAGGUGGAUCAAGCGCGGCCCCUCGCAAGCCUUAAAAGGAGCAGCGGGCGGUGGCUCUCCGCCGCGACCCUGGAGGGAGGCCUUGCGGGUCGACGCGGCGGCUUGCAGCGGGCGCGGCUCCGAGCAUGCGCGGCGGCUGUGUGCCCGCCCGCUCGGCACCGCCCUCGGGCUCGGUCCUCCUCCCGCCGCGGCCUGUAGGCUCCCGGAGCAUCCGGGGCUGAUCGCGGAGGAGUGAAAUUUAGCAGAGGUAUCUAAUGAAGAGGAAUCUGAACAUACCAGCUGAGAAAGGAAAAGGAUUGGGAGAAGACCCCAGAUGUCAUAAGGCAAAGAGAGAAUGAGGCCUUCUCCAUGUGGAGUCAGAGGAGACCCUCCUACACCAGAGGGAAAGAUCUCAGGCUUUUUAAGUUAUUUUCCAUCUUGCCACCUACAAAUCUGAAAUCUAAAGUAAUUGGAUCUCCUUUUAAUCAACAACAAAGGAUGCCUGUACUACAGCUGUUUUUCAUGCAUAUCAUUUUUGAAAAAUUUUUAUUGUUGUGGUGGUGAUGGUAUUUUUUUAAGAGGGAAAAUUAUAAAAAUGACACCGAUUAAGGGUAGAAAAUUUCAAAAUAGGCAGCACUAAAAAGAAGUACAUUGAAUUUCAACAUUUACUAUCUACAGCCCAAAAUUAAAUACUUUUUUGUUGUUGUUGUUGUAUCUGUGGCAUGCAGAAGUUCCCAAGCCAGGGAUGGAACCCACGCCACAGCUUUAAUCAGAGCCACAGCAGUAAUAACACCAUAUCCUUAACCCAUUGAGCCACAAGGGAACUCCCAAAGUUAAGUACUUUUAAUGCUGUUUUGUAUGUUCUUCCAACCUCUUUUCAUCUGUGUACCUUUUUUCCCCCAUAAUUGAAGUGAUAAUGUAUGUACUCAUUUGUAUUAUUUAUAAUGGCUAGGUAAUAGUCUAUUACAUAAAAAUACUACACAUUAAUUAUAACUUUUGGUCAUUCAGGUUGUUUUUAGUUUUUAUUAUCUCACAAAGUUGAGGUGACCAUGUAUGUGCUCAAAUGUUUUUAUGUAUUUUGGAUUAUGCCCUUAGUCAAGUUCCCUUAAAGCAGAAUUAUGGAGGAAAAAGUCCUUGUUGCAUAUUGAUAUUUAGGCAGAUAUGCUCUUUUCCUUCCCUCUUCCCUUCUUCCUGUUUAUCACUCAGCAAUAUCCACAAUAGUAGUUGCUUUUCUUCUGUGCUUUAUUUUAUACCCUUCAGGAUCUUGGAUUUUUCUCUAGUUUGUCUUUCAGUUGCAAGGUGCUUUGCACAAAACUGACAGCCAACACAAUGGGUCCCCUGUGUAUUUCAACAUUAGUCCCAACUAGAGAAAGAAAGAAAAGCUCAAGGUUCACAUUUUAUCUGUCUUGCUUCCUAAACACUUCUCUUUCCAACUACCUUUAACAACAGAGAUACAAAUCUUAUUUCAUCUUAUUUAACCCUCAUAACAAUUACAUUAAAUCUGUCUUAUCUUUGUUUUAUAGCUGCAGAAAUUGAGGCACAGAGUUUAAAUAACUUGUCAAAGGUCAUAUAUUAAAUAGUAGAUUCAAGAUUUCAAUCCAGGUUUAUCUAACUUCAAAAUUCUUUCUAUGAUACCACUGUUCCUUCAUAGUUAAAAGAAAACUGAGCAAAUGUCCAGUGGAUUAAAUUCUCAAAUAAUUAUAUAGGGCAGGAAAACUUUUAGAUUCUGUGUCUAGGGCCUGUGAAUUAAACACAUAGGUGGGAAGACAUACAAAUUUUGUUUGAUGUUAAUUUUUUUUUAAUUUUAUUACCACACCUAUGGCAUAUUGAAGUUCUUGGGCGAGGGACUGAAUCCAAGCCACAGCUGCAAUUCACGUGGCAGAUGCAGCAAUGCCAGAUUGUUUAACCCACUGCUCCUGGCUGGGGAUCACACCCACACCUUCAUAGCAACCCAAACUGCUUCAGUCAGACUCUUAACCCCCGGGGCCUCAGCAGGAAUUCCUUGAUGUUAAUAUUUAACUUUUUCACGUGCAUGGAGGCCUUCAUAUAUAAUGAGUAUCCAAAGAAGCAGUUAAAUGUAGGGGGUUAUAUACCAUCUUAACAAAGGGUGAUAAGUUAUGGAGAAAUAAUUAGACAAAGUAAAAGGGGCUCGUGUGGGUGGUUAACUAUGGGAAAGUAAAUAUAUGGGGCACAGUAAUGGAAGACAGGGUUAUUUAGUGAGGCUUCAUUUAUGAAGACUCAUCUUGGUACCAUCUCCAUCUCCUGUGAUAAACAUUGUUUUUCCCUUCCUGGUACAAGAGAGGGUGACACCUGCACAAAGGGAAGGUUGUGUUCUGCUUUCAGGCAGGAGUGGGGAGAGCAGAGAGUUUUUCUUGCACCUGCUGUUUCUCAGUUGCUUUUAGCUCAAAACAAUCGUUACACCAAAGUGGCAUAUUUUUGGGUGGCAUAUUCUGAUCCUCUUCACUUUACCUCUGCCACUUGAUGUGAUUGGCUAAAUAACUAAAAUCUAGCUUUCCUUAAUUCAUUGUUUCCCUCUAUUAUAUUUUACUCAUGUUCAGGCCACUUAUUCUUUCAGUUUUUCCUUUAGCCUUGGCUCCACACUGUACAAUUGAAAUUUUCAUUAGGUAGCACAAAAUGAUGUUCUAAAAAGAUUGCUGUUAAUUAAUAAAAGCAUUGCUGAUUUUGGUGCUGUUUUUAAAUUAAGAAAAUUGAACAAAAUCGCAUUUGUAUUCUGUUUUAACAAUAAAUGUAGUCUGAAUCAAAA
RNAcentral lists this long non-coding RNA (2892 nucleotides) under Sus scrofa (pig). RNAcentral describes it as "lncRNA (ENSSSCG00045020628.1)". The record is from RNAcentral. Lineage: Eukaryota; Metazoa; Chordata; Mammalia; Artiodactyla; Suidae.